RNAcentral lists this long non-coding RNA (1963 nucleotides) under Oreochromis niloticus (Nile tilapia). RNAcentral describes it as "lncRNA (ENSONIG00000029321.1)". Lineage: Eukaryota; Metazoa; Chordata; Actinopteri; Cichliformes; Cichlidae. The record is from RNAcentral.
AUCAAGGCCAAAAAAGAGGAAUGAAUCAAAGAAAUUCAGAGUAUUUUCUGAGGGCACAUUGAUGCUGCCUUACACUCAGCGUUAACUGGACACUUAAACCAUCCCAGUCUCCUCUCCGGGGCAUUUGAGUUGUGGUUGCAUUUGUAUAAUUGCUUUUGUGUAAGAGUGAGCAAAACUUUUAAACCAGAACAGUUACUCCAAACAGUGAAACAACUUUGUUGAAAUGUAGGUGUGCUGACAUUCCCUUUAAAAUAUCCAGAGGAGCUAGCUUACAUGUUAGAAAAUGAUAAGCAGCCCAUACUGACAAGAACCUGGACUUUGGUUAUCUAUACUGUCAUUAUAUCUACCCCACCCCCCACCCCCAAUGCUUAAAACUCCUCAAAGCUGGAGAUUAAAACAUCUUUGAUGAGUAUGUCAAAGCAUUUCUGUCUUUUUUAUUAAGUGAGGCUUUGGAAGAGUUAUGAUGAACCAUAGAUCAGAAAAUAUAAUAGUAAAAUAAUAAUUAAAAAAAAAGACAGGAGAGUUUUUCUGAAAUAACAGAAGUUCAUUCAGCCUCAGUUAUAAUUAGUGAGCUUAGAGAUUUUAGCUUUUCUGACAGCCCCCUCUCUCCUGUCACAUUUUCAGCUAAAACUAAUGCAUAUCAUUACAUUUCCCCAUAGAAAGGACCUACUAAGUGCUACUAAGUGCUACUGAAAUGUACUUGUGACUAUGAUGUUAGGAUCUGCAAUGCAAUGAACGUUGUUUACCUCAGGUGGAUAUGACGUCACGGAUUUGGAAGAUCAAAACAACAACAUCCAAAUCAGCGAUUCUUCCUUUUUUUUUCCUCCUUCUUUUCACAGCGUGUUAAAAUCUAAUAAGAACAUUAAGCAAGGAGCUCGUGCCUUUUCCUGCGAGACAGACUGGCAGGCAGCGAGUGUGAAACUCCACAUUUCGCUUUAUUUCGACGCCCUCGGACAACAUGGACAGGAAGUGAAGCCAGCUCUGAGAAUAAUCUAAAGGCACCCGUGACAGUUUGUAACAUCAGAACUACCGUAAGCUGAAGUCUGAUUGGAGGAAUGGCGUGCCAAUCGACCCUGCACCAGUGAUCAGGGUAUGUGGCAGUCCUCCCACUAUAACUCUUCUCUUACUGCAUACAGUAAUGUGCCUGCUGUUUGUCUGUGAAGUGUCUUCAAAGCACUGUAAGAUGUGACUUUUCGGCUUACGUGUUUCAAGCCAUAACUGGUUUGAAACACAUCCCAACAGAAUAUCGUGACUUUUUUAGCAGUUUCACUGUUAGGCUUCACUGGCUACUAAGCAUGGAUGUGAAUGAUAGAGACACAAAUAGUUCUGGAGAGAGUUUACUGUUUUAGGGAAAAUAUCUAAUUUUAGUGACCAUUAUUGCAAUUAUUUUAAAUAAAUAAACUUCAGCUCUGCAUCUGUGAGGACUGGUCCCAGGCCUCUAAACUGCUGCCCUGCUUGUCCAGUUUUUGCCAGCAAUUUAAAAAAGGUCUGAGGCUGCUCUUGUAAGUGGCUGUUUUCCCAGAUGGAGAAUCAGGACAGUCAAUCAGGGGUACUUCACUACCCCCUAUUCCUGGAGGUCCCAAUUCAGACCUUUUAAAUGGAAACUCUUAAAACAAUGAUAUGAUAUUGUUUGAUUCAAGUAUGAAGGAUAAUAAUACAAAAGUUUAACCAUGAUUUGGGUAACAUUUUGAGGGUGAAGUUGUCAUUCUAGCUGCUCUGGCCAUUACAACAGUUUAAAAUGUCCUUGAAACAGUGAGGUGAUUAACUGAAUAAUAAUAGUUGACACCUGAUUUUUUUGAUGAAUUCAGAAAGAGUAUGAAAGCAUAAAAAUUCACAGCUUCCUAAAUAUUUGCUGGUUUUCAAAGUCUUCUGUGAAAGUAGCUUGAAUCUUUGUAUCUUUGGGUUUUGGAUUGCUGGUCAGACAAAACAUGACAUGUCCUUGAGCAUCAGAACUUGAUAAUGG